This 495-nucleotide long non-coding RNA is filed under the name Helianthus annuus (common sunflower). The record is from RNAcentral. Lineage: Eukaryota; Viridiplantae; Streptophyta; Magnoliopsida; Asterales; Asteraceae.
GACGACUCAACAACCCUGAUAGGUUUUCGAUAAAAGUAGAUCCGCUUCAUUUUCUUAUCGCUAAUUGUUUUUUUCUUACAUCAAGUUGUAAUUUGUCUGAAUCUGUUAUUUGCUAGUAUUGAAAAAAAGCCAAUUUGCAGAGCAAGGACGCCUAAAAAAUGUGACGAAACUUGCAUUGAAGGUUGGCAAAAUCAAAACAGUUUCUGCGAUUCUCCGUGCCUAUCAAAUCUCUUAAUUUUGAAUAUGGCCUCGAACAAAUCGCAACAUAUCAAUCUACAAUCGUAAUUGUUAGGGUUUAAUGUUUUUUUAGUGAUCAAUUUGUUUGUCAUCUCUUUUUUUGCAAAUAAAGAGAAAAGCCAAUUUGCAGAGCAAGGGCGCCUAACAAAUGUGACGAAACUUGCAUUGAAGGUUGGCGAAAUUAAAAAAGUUUCUGUGAUUCUCCGUGCCUAUCAAAUUUUUUAAUUUUGAAUACGGCCUCGAACAAAUCGCAACAUU